Non-coding RNA from Streptococcus pneumoniae 2070335, 115 nucleotides. The record is from Rfam. Lineage: Bacteria; Bacillati; Bacillota; Bacilli; Lactobacillales; Streptococcaceae.
AACUAUCUUCAGGGCAGGGUGAAAUUCCCUACCGGUGGUAUAGCCCACGAGCCGAAAGGCAUGAUUUGGUGAAAUUCCAAAGCCGACAGUAUAGUCUGGAUGAAAGAAGAUAAAA